UACGUAGGUGGCAAGCGUUGUCCGGAUUUACUGGGCGUAAAGAGCGCGCAGGCGGUCAGAUAAGUCGAAUGUGAAAGCCCCCGGCUCAACUGGGGAGGGUCAUUCGAUACUGUUCGACUCGAAGGCAGGAGAGGGAAGUGGAACUCCCGGUGUAGUGGUGAAAUGCGUAGAUAUCGGGAGGAACACCAGUGGCGAAGGCGACUUCCUGGCCUGUUCUUGACGCUGAGGCGCGAAAGCUAGGGGAGCAAACGGG
RNAcentral lists this ribosomal RNA (253 nucleotides) under uncultured bacterium. RNAcentral's name for it is "partial 16S ribosomal RNA". It matches the Rfam family "Bacterial small subunit ribosomal RNA", at positions 524 to 776 of the family's 1533-position model. The record is from RNAcentral.